Molecule: ribosomal RNA, 440 nt
Filed under: uncultured bacterium
Lineage: Bacteria
Description: partial 16S ribosomal RNA
Rfam family: Bacterial small subunit ribosomal RNA
Source: RNAcentral
CCUACGGGUGGCAGCAGUGGGGGAUAUUGCACAAUGGGGGCAACCCUGAUGCAGCGACGCCGCGUGAGCGAUGGAGUACUUCGGUAUGUAAAGCUCUGUCAGCAGGGAAGAGAAUGACGGUACCUGACCAAGAAGCCCCGGCUAAAUACGUGCCAGCGGCCGCGGUAAUAGUAUGGGGCCAGGGGUAUCCGGAUUUACCGGGUGUAAAGGGAGCGUAGGCGGUAGGGGAAGGCUGAUGUGAAAGCCCGGGGCUCAACCCCGGGGCUGCAUUGGGAACUGCCCCGCUCGAGUGCCGGAGGGGCAGGCGGAAGUCCUAGUGUAGCGGUGAAAUGCGUAGAUAUUAGGAGGAACACCAGUGGCGAAGGCGGCCUGCUGGACGGGGGACUGACGCUGAGGCUCGAAAGCGUGGGGAGCAAACAGGAGUAGAUACCCCAGUAGUC